UAUAUCAUACAUAUCUUAUUCAGAUGCCCUUAAUAUCAAAUGUCUCUUAUAAUUAGUUUAAAUUUCAAAGCAGUACGUUUGUAAUAUCUGGUGGUGAUGAAGAGUACGUCUGAGUGUGACAUGUAUAAUAUUUUUUUCUUGUUUUUGAUAUAUUGCACGUAUCGAAGGACUAUUUCAGAUAGGUAAGAUUCAAUUUGCG
This 199-nucleotide long non-coding RNA is filed under the name Ananas comosus (pineapple). Its description in RNAcentral is "long non-coding RNA (ACOM_LNC004874)". Lineage: Eukaryota; Viridiplantae; Streptophyta; Magnoliopsida; Poales; Bromeliaceae. The record is from RNAcentral.